ACGAUAACGGCGUCGAGCGGCGGACGGGUGAGUAAUGCCUGGGAAAUUGCCCUGAUGUGGGGGAUAACCAUUGGAAACGAUGGCUAAUACCGCAUAAUAGCUUCGGCUCAAAGAGGGGGACCUUCGGGCCUCUCGCGUCAGGAUAUGCCCAGGUGGGAUUAGCUAGUUGGUGAGGUAAGGGCUCACCAAGGCGACGAUCCCUAGCUGGUCUGAGAGGAUGAUCAGCCACACUGGAACUGAGACACGGUCCAGACUCCUACGGGAGGCAGCAGUGGGGAAUAUUGCACAAUGGGCGCAAGCCUGAUGCAGCCAUGCCGCGUGUAUGAAGAAGGCCUUCGGGUUGUAAAGUACUUUCAGCAGUGAGGAAGGUUCAUGCGUUAAUAGCGUAUGGAUUUGACGUUAGCUGCAGAAGAAGCACCGGCUAACUCCGUGCCAGCAGCCGCGGUAAUACGGAGGGUGCGAGCGUUAAUCGGAAUUACUGGGCGUAAAGCGCAUGCAGGUGGUUUGUUAAGUCAGAUGUGAAAGCCCGGGGCUCAACCUCGGAAUUGCAUUUGAAACUGGCAGACUAGAGUACUGUAG
RNAcentral lists this ribosomal RNA (579 nucleotides) under Vibrio sp. S157. RNAcentral describes it as "bacterial SSU rRNA". It matches the Rfam family "Bacterial small subunit ribosomal RNA", at positions 79 to 654 of the family's 1533-position model. Lineage: Bacteria; Pseudomonadati; Pseudomonadota; Gammaproteobacteria; Vibrionales; Vibrionaceae. The record is from RNAcentral.